GAUUGACAGGUCCUAUGGAGGAGGCAGCAGAGACUCUGCUCUCCUCGUUUGGAUUAAUUCUGAUAUAAUAACUGUUGGUUUAUUUAUCGGUGCAGCAGCAGAACAUUUUCCACAGACAGUUUUCCUGCCCGUUGGCUUGUUUUAACCAGUUUUCUACCUUCGGCUGAUUCUACCAGCAGACACUGAAAGGACUCUGAUAGUUCAAGUGAAAGUAGCAGUUCCUCCUGAAGGUCAGAGAUCGCAGCAUCUGAGGGCCUCUUCAAAAGAAGACGUAGUUGAUGAAGGCGUUCUGGAGCAGGACCAGAAAGACCACGACCAAGCAGCCUUGAGAUCUUAGGCAGCGUCUCCCUCAGGUCCCUCUCUAUCUCCCCACAUCCACCAACCACUGGAACACAUCUCCAAAGUUCUGCUGGACCAGCUCAGCUUCCCCUCAGAAGAAGUGCUGCCACCUGCCAGAUGAAGGAGCCUUUUGAGAGGCAGCUGGCAUCGUGAUUGGACUGUACUUUGGUUUGUUCCAAUCCAGCUUCAGCUCCAGAGACGGCAGGCGGGACGAGUCAACGGAGGCCGGGUGGACAAAGGCAUGAAGCUGAGUACAAUCCAGAAAACAACAGAGGAGGAGUGCAGCGGCCCAGAGCCAGAACAACCAGAGUAGCAUGGUAUGUCUCUUAGAAAACAUCAUAGUAUAGCCUUUGGUAUGAAAAAACACCAUCAUAUACAUCGUAUAUUGUACAAAUAACAAGUCAAAGGAAAGAGAC
Molecule: long non-coding RNA, 755 nt
Organism: Amphiprion ocellaris (clown anemonefish)
Lineage: Eukaryota; Metazoa; Chordata; Actinopteri; Pomacentridae
Source: Ensembl